GACGAACGCUGGCGGCGUGCUUAACACAUGCAAGUCGAACGGAAAGGCCCUGCUUUUGUGGGGUGCUCGAGUGGCGAACGGGUGAGUAACACGUGAGUAACCUGCCCUUGACUUUGGGAUAACUUCAGGAAACUGGGGCUAAUACCGGAUAGGAGCUCCUGCUGCAUGGAGGGGGUUGGAAAGUUUCGGCGGUUGGGGAUGGACUCGCGGCUUAUCAGCUUGUUGGUGGGGUAGUGGCUUACCAAGGCUUUGACGGGUAGCCGGCCUGAGAGGGUGACCGGCCUCAUUGGGACUGAGAUACGGCCCAGACUCCUACGGGAGGCAGAAGUGGGGAGUAUUGCACAAUGGUCGGAAGCCGGAUGCGGCAACGCUGCGUGCGGGAUGACGGCCUUCGGGUUGUAAACCGCUUUCGCCUGUGACGAAGCUGGAGUGACGGUAAUGGGUAAAUAAGCACCGGCUAACUACGUG
This 468-nucleotide ribosomal RNA is filed under the name uncultured bacterium. RNAcentral describes it as "partial 16S ribosomal RNA". It matches the Rfam family "Bacterial small subunit ribosomal RNA", at positions 28 to 507 of the family's 1533-position model. The record is from RNAcentral.